UACAGAGGGUGCAAGCGUUAAUCGGAAUUACUGGGCGUAAAGGGUGCGUAGGUGGCUAAAUAAGUUAGGUGUGAAAGUCCUGGGCUUAACCUGGGGACUGCGCCUAAUACUGUUUAGCUAGAGUACUGUAGAGGAAGGUGGAAUUUCCAGUGUAGCGGUGAAAUGCGUAGAUAUUGGAAGGAACAUCUGUGGCGAAGGCGACCUUCUGGACAGAUACUGACACUGAGGCACGAAAGCGUGGGGAGCAAACAGG
This 253-nucleotide ribosomal RNA is filed under the name uncultured bacterium. RNAcentral describes it as "partial 16S ribosomal RNA". It matches the Rfam family "Bacterial small subunit ribosomal RNA", at positions 524 to 776 of the family's 1533-position model. The record is from RNAcentral.